Long non-coding RNA from Rhagoletis zephyria (snowberry fruit fly), 286 nucleotides. RefSeq lists it as uncharacterized. NCBI's taxonomy places the organism in Eukaryota, Metazoa, Arthropoda, Insecta, Diptera, Tephritidae. The record is from RefSeq and is a predicted model, not a curated record.
UUGAAUGGCAAACCUCGUAUGGAAAAGUACAUGAAUUUUUACGCGAUCGCUUUUUUUUGUUUCUUUCUUUUACAAACGGCAAAAUCAAGUUUCGUUAAUUUAUUGAUUGCAACGGCGCGUAGGUUGUAGUUUUGGAAAAAGAAAUUAAUAAAAUAAAUAGUUGCUUUGGCAUGUUUAUGAUGGACAAACAAAGUCAGAAAUCGAAAAAAGCAGCGAGCAAAGUGAACCGCUGAUGCGCAUAAUAAUAGAGUAGACUAACAAACGUAACAUAAACAGAAAUGAUAUU